GACGAACGCUGGCGGCGUGCCUAAUACAUGCAAGUUGAGCGCUGAAGGUUGGUACUUGUCCCAACUGGAUGAGCAGCGAACGGGUGAGUAACGCGUGGGGAAUCUGCCUUUGAGCGGGGGACAACAUUUGGAAACGAAUGCUAAUACCGCAUAAAAACUUUAAACACAAGUUUUAAGUUUGAAAGAUGCAAUUGCAUCACUCAAAGAUGAUCCCGCGUUGUAUUAGCUAGUUGGUGAGGUAAAGGCUCACCAAGGCGAUGAUACAUAGCCGACCUGAGAGGGUGAUCGGCCACAUUGGGACUGAGACACGGCCCAAACGCCUACGGGAGGCAGCAGUAGGGAAUCUUCGGCAAUGGACGAAAGUCUGACCGAGCAACGCCGCGUGAGUGAAGAAGGUUUUCGGAUCGUAAAACUCUGUUGGUAGAGAAGAACGUUGGUGUGAGUGGAAAGCUCAUCAAGUGACGGUAACUACCCAGAAAGGGACGGCUAACUACGUG
Molecule: ribosomal RNA, 497 nt
Filed under: uncultured bacterium
Lineage: Bacteria
Description: partial 16S ribosomal RNA
Rfam family: Bacterial small subunit ribosomal RNA
Source: RNAcentral